This 1296-nucleotide ribosomal RNA is filed under the name Salmonella enterica subsp. enterica serovar Kentucky. Its description in RNAcentral is "partial 23S ribosomal RNA". It matches the Rfam family "Bacterial large subunit ribosomal RNA", at positions 566 to 1773 of the family's 2925-position model. Lineage: Bacteria; Pseudomonadati; Pseudomonadota; Gammaproteobacteria; Enterobacterales; Enterobacteriaceae. The record is from RNAcentral.
CCACCACCAAAGCAUUCUCUGGUGUUGAAGGCCCUGCAAAGCAGCAUCGCGGUGGCGGAGCGUCGUUUGCGACGCCCAACACACAAAACAAGCGGUGAGUGCUUUGGGGUGGGGUGACUGCGUACCUUUUGUAUAAUGGGUCAGCGACUUAUAUUCUGUAGCAAGGUUAACCGUAUAGGGGAGCCGAAGGGAAACCGAGUCUUAACUGGGCGUUAAGUUGCAGGGUAUAGACCCGAAACCCGGUGAUCUAGCCAUGGGCAGGUUGAAGGUUGGGUAACACUAACUGGAGGACCGAACCGACUAAUGUUGAAAAAUUAGCGGAUGACUUGUGGCUGGGGGUGAAAGGCCAAUCAAACCGGGAGAUAGCUGGUUCUCCCCGAAAGCUAUUUAGGUAGCGCCUCGUGAACUCAUCUUCGGGGGUAGAGCACUGUUUCGGCUAGGGGGUCAUCCCGACUUACCAACCCGAUGCAAACUGCGAAUACCGAAGAAUGUUAUCACGGGAGACACACGGCGGGUGCUAACGUCCGUCGUGAAGAGGGAAACAACCCAGACCGCCAGCUAAGGUCCCAAAGUCACAGUUAAGUGGGAAACGAUGUGGGAAGGCUCAGACAGCCAGGAUGUUGGCUUAGAAGCAGCCAUCAUUUAAAGAAAGCGUAAUAGCUCACUGGUCGAGUCGGCCUGCGCGGAAGAUGUAACGGGGCUAAACUGUGCACCGAAGCUGCGGCAGCGACGCUUAUGCGUUGUUGGGUAGGGGAGCGUUCUGUAAGCCUGCGAAGGUGUCCUGUGAGGGAUGCUGGAGGUAUCAGAAGUGCGAAUGCUGACAUAAGUAACGAUAAUGCGGGUGAAAAGCCCGCUCGCCGGAAGACCAAGGGUUCCUGUCCAACGUUAAUCGGGGCAGGGUGAGUCGACCCCUAAGGCGAGGCCGAAAGGCGUAGUCGAUGGGAAACGGGUUAAUAUUCCCGUACUUGGUGUUACUGCGAAGGGGGGACGGAGAAGGCUAUGUUGGCCGGGCGACGGUUGUCCCGGUUUAAGCGUGUAGGCUGGUUUUCCAGGCAAAUCCGGAAAAUCAAGGCUGAGGCGUGAUGACGAGGCACUACGGUGCUGAAGCAACAAAUGCCCUGCUUCCAGGAAAAGCCUCUAAGCAUCAGGUAACAUCAAAUCGUACCCCAAACCGACACAGGUGGUCAGGUAGAGAAUACCAAGGCGCUUGAGAGAACUCGGGUGAAGGAACUAGGCAAAAUGGUGCCGUAACUUCGGGAGAAGGCACGCUGACACGUAGGUGAAGUGAUUUACUCA